GAAUGAAUUUGGAAAGAUAUUAGAACAAAUUCUAUGAUUAUAUAUGCAGCUUUAUUGGGGAUAUUUUUAUCAAGUAUGGAUUACCAUCAUUUAAAAAUUUAUCAAAUACUAAUCUUUCGUGAUAUUUGUUUUAUUUUCUCUCCGUGAAAAAUAAGCACAAGGGCUGCCAAUUUUUUUACUAUCCUUUUUUAUUUUUUCAUAUCAAAUAUGAUAAUUUGACAUGAAAUUUAUUUUUUUCUGUCAGAUUAUCUCUAACCAAACGAACUCUAAGAAGAGCUGUGACA
This 284-nucleotide long non-coding RNA is filed under the name Elaeis guineensis (African oil palm). Its description in RNAcentral is "long non-coding RNA (EGUI_LNC013940)". Lineage: Eukaryota; Viridiplantae; Streptophyta; Magnoliopsida; Arecales; Arecaceae. The record is from RNAcentral.